RNAcentral lists this non-coding RNA (181 nucleotides) under marine eukaryotic metagenome. RNAcentral's name for it is "Lysine riboswitch". It matches the Rfam family "Lysine riboswitch aptamer". From Rfam's summary of the family: Riboswitches are metabolite binding domains within certain messenger RNAs that serve as precision sensors for their corresponding targets. Allosteric rearrangement of mRNA structure is mediated by ligand binding, and this results in modulation of gene expression. The record is from RNAcentral.
UGGGUAGGGGCGCGGGCUGCAUGAGUAACCGCCGGGGAGGAGCGGGUAUCCAAUGAACCGGGGCCAAAGGGCAGACCGCCGAAGUCCGGCGGCAAAACCCGUAGCGCCGGGCUGGGCCGGUAUCGAACAGGUGCCGGACUGUCACCCGUGCAGCGUGCCGAGGCGCGGGUGGAGCACUACU